Molecule: ribosomal RNA, 793 nt
Filed under: Pseudomonas aeruginosa
Lineage: Bacteria; Pseudomonadati; Pseudomonadota; Gammaproteobacteria; Pseudomonadales; Pseudomonadaceae
Description: bacterial SSU rRNA
Rfam family: Bacterial small subunit ribosomal RNA (bases 1-615)
Source: RNAcentral
UAAUAGCAUACUAGAUUAAACUCAAAUAGAAUUAGACGAGGGGCCCGCACAAGCGGUGGAGCAUGUGGUUUAAUUCGAAAGCAACGCGAAGAAACCUUACCUGGCCUUGACAUGCUGAGAACUUUCCAGAGAUGGAUUGGUGCCUUCGGGAACUCAGAACACAGGUGCCUGCAUGGCUGUCCGUCAGCUCGUGUCGUGAGAUGUUGGGUUAAAGUCCCCGUAACGAGCGCAACCCCUUGAUCCUUAGUUACCAGCACCCUCGGGUGGGCACUCUAAGGAGACUGCCGGUGACAAACCGGAGGAAGGUGGGGAUGACGUCAAGUCGUCAUGGCCCUUACGGCCAGGGACUACUCUCGUGCCUACAAUGGGUCGGUACAAAAGGGUUGCCACGCCGCGAGGUGGAGCUACUCCCAUAAAACCGAUCGUAGUCCGGAUCGCAGUCUGCAACUCGACUGCGUGAAGUCGGAAUCGCUAGUAAUCGUGAAUCCGAAUGUCCCGGUGAAUACGUCCCCCGGCCCUGGUACCCACGCCCGUAAUCGGAUCCCGGACCGUCGACUGCAGAGGCCGCUGCAAGCCUUCCCUAUGUGAGUCGUAUAGAGCUGGCGUAUCCUGGUCUGCUGUUUCUGUGUGAAAUGUAAUCGCUCCAAUCCCCCCACGUCGAGCCGAAGCAUNGUGUAGCCUGGGGUCUAUAGUGCUACUCGUAUGGUGCCCCGCCGCUCCGCGAACGUGUCCCGCUAUAAUGCCCCGGAAGGGUCGUGGCCUCCUCCCCGAUCGCUGUUGCGGAGAUCCUGGG